This 463-nucleotide ribosomal RNA is filed under the name uncultured bacterium. RNAcentral's name for it is "partial 16S ribosomal RNA". It matches the Rfam family "Bacterial small subunit ribosomal RNA", at positions 28 to 506 of the family's 1533-position model. The record is from RNAcentral.
GACGAACGCUGGCGGCGUGCUUAACACAUGCAAGUCGAACGGAAAGGCCCAGCUUGCUGGGUGCUCGAGUGGCGAACGGGUGAGUAACACGUGGGUGAUCUGCCCCUAACUUCGGGAUAAGCUUGGGAAACUGGGUCUAAUACCGGAUAGGACAAUCGUUUAGUGUCGGUUGUGGAAAGUUUUUUCGGUUAGGGAUGAGCCCGCGGCCUAUCAGCUUGUUGGUGGGGUAAUGGCCUACCAAGGCGUCGACGGGUAGCCGGCCUGAGAGGGUGGACCGCCACAUUGGGACUGAGAUACGGCCCAGACUCCUACGGGAGGCAGCAGUGGGGAAUAUUGCACAAUGGGCGCAAGCCUGAUGCAGCGACGCCGCGUGGGGGAUGACGGCCUUCGGGUUGUAAACCUCUUUCGACAGGGACGAAGCUUUGGUGACGGUACCUGUAUAAGAAGCACCGGCUAACUACGU